UUCCAGAAGUGAUGUCCAGAAGUUGAAGAAAAAUCUAGACAAUACCUUAUAAAACAGCACAGAGGUCACAGACGUAGAAACAAAAUAAAAAUGUAUCCUAUACGAUACCAGGAACAUCUGCAAAAAGAUAGCGAGAGAUACUGGAAGAAAAAGGCAAGAGAGAAGUGAAAUCUAUCUCUGAGCUUACAAAGCGAGAACAAAGAAGCAAGAGAUGGCAAUGGAAAUGCAACCAACGGAAUAGAAGACAGACUUUAAGAGAACAGUUGAAAUGGAGACCUACCUAUCAGGCAACACACCACCUCAGUCACCAGAUAACUUGCAGCCAGAACAUGAGGCCAUCAUACCUGCCCCUAACUUACCUGCCCCUGAUGCAUGCCCUGAUACCCCUUCCUCAUCAUCUGCAACAGGAAUGAGAAGUUGAACACUUGCUGGAAGGAAAAAGGUUGGAAGAGGUCACUUAAAAACAUAGCGAUCUUUGCAUGACAAAUGUCAAACUUGAUAAAGUUUAACGGAAAACUGAGAAAUACAAAAAAAGGUAUGAUCAAUUGAUGAAGAAAAUGGAGAGACAAUAUUCCCCAAAGACAAAUACAAGACAGAAAAUGAAGAGAACUCCAAAGAACUUGAAGGAUUUUAUUGUUUCAAAAUGCCAUCCUUGCAGAGUUAAAGCAAAAGUAUCAAAAAAUACGCAGUGCCAAGGACAAACAAGUGGCUUCAAAAAUGCUCAGAGGCAACAUCCUGAGAAAGUAUGGCCUGGAUAACGCCGCACACAGAGAAUUUGGCUUUUCAGCAAAAGCAAUGAGGGCAAAUGAAAACAGGCCAACAAGUAUGCAAUACUCCAGGAAAAAGCAGUGUAACAUAAUUACUACAGCCACAGAAGAGAAAAUUACUAGAUUAUAUGAACGUGAUGUCAACAUUAGAGCAGCAACAGGGGAAAAAGGACACACAAGAAAAAAAGCAGAAGCGCUUCUUGAAUGGCACAAUUCAGAACCUUUAUCAGAAUUUUAAGAGGGAAUAUUCAGAGAUUAAAAUGUCCUGCUAUGAAUUCUGCAAAAGAUGUCCUUUUUGGGUUGUCAAGCCAACAGUCCAGGAUAGGGACACAUGCUUCUGCAAAACCCACGCCAACCUCCAGUUCAUGGGGACAAACUACAGUAUCACAAAGUGAUCAGCUGCAGCAACAAUGAGAACCUAGUUGAGUCUUUGUGCUGUGAGAACCUGAAGAAAGAGUGCAUGUACACAGAGUGCUCUCUUUGCCAAGCAAAAGAGCUUAACAUCUGACUUUGAUGCUGGUGAGCAGACAUGGUGGUUUGAGUGGAAAAACAAAGCUGAAGAGAGAGAAAAUGAAAAACAGAGGGAAACAUGGAGAAGUUCACUGUACAUUUGACAGUUAAAGAAAAUGUGUGUGGCACACUGCAUAUUCUACUGGAGGACUUCUCCAAAUGAUUGAAAGAGAAGUUGGGGAAACACGUGUACAACAUUCGACACCAAUAAUCCAAACUGAGAGAAUUUAAAGAGAAUCUGCGGAAAGUGAUCAUCGUGCAUAUUAACUUUGCAGAGAACUCAGGGUCGCAACUUUCACUGGGGACAGGGGGGGACAUCCACCCCCUCACCAGAUUCUGAAAUUGCAUCUCUGUCCCCCCCAGUUUUAGCAUUGAAAUGUGAUACACAAUGAGGCAUGCUGCAGACACCUCCGAGCGGUCGGGUAGGCUGUUUUGGAGUGUUUAUCCGACUGGAUGUAACGGCUGUCGUCGGAAGAAGACCAAGGUGCAGCGGAGUUAGUGUUCAUCAUAAAAGGUUUUAAUGAUCAACGAACACUAUACAAAAGAAAACAAAAAACGACUAGCAACAGUUCUGUUAGGAACACACUAAACAGAAAACAAUUACCCACAAAACCCAAAGGAAAAACAUGCUCCUUCUGUGGGACUCCCAAUCAGCAACAACGAGCUUCAGCUGUGCCUGAUUGGGAGCCACACACGGCCCAAAACAAAGAAAUACAAAAACAUAGAGAAAGGAACAUAGAACGCCCACCCAAUAUAACACCCUGGCCUAACCAAAAUAAAGAACAAAAAACCCCUCUCUAUGGCCAGGGCGUUACAUUGGAUAAAACUAAUUAUAAUAAUUAUUUCCCCCCCACUUCAAAAACCGAAGUUGCGCCCCAGAGAAACUACCUGUGUAAAUACAAAUCAAAUCAAAUGUAUUUAUAUAGCCCUUCUUACAUCAGCUGAUAUCUCAAAGUGCUGUACAGAAACCCAGCCUAAAACCCCAAACAGCAAGCAAUGCAGGUGUAGAAGCACAGUGGCUAGGAAAAACUCCCUAGAAAGGCCAAAACCUUGGAAGAAACCUAGAGAGGAACCAGGCUAUGAGGGGUGGCCAGUCCUCUUCUGGCUGUGCCGGGUGGAGAUUAUAACAGAACAUGGCCAAGAUGUUGAAAUGUUCAUAAAUGACCAGCAUGGUCAAAUAAUAAUAAUCACAGUUGUCGAGGGUGCAACAAGUCAGCACCUCAAGAGUAAAUAUCAGUUGGCUUUUCAUAGCCGAUCAUUGAGAGUAUCUCUACCGCUCCUGCUGUCUCUAGAGAGUUGAAAACAGCAGGUCUGGGACAGGUAGCACAGUGAAAUCCAUACACCAGUGAAAUCCAGGCAGUUCACUUUGGUGAUUCUCACAAGCAGGUGACCCUCCUCACCUGUGUUGGAUAUACCACCAAUGAUACAGUUUCACUUUGCUCACUGAGCUCUUCUAUGUGGAUGACCCCUCUACAAUCUGAGCUCAUCUUUCAAAAGCACUGGCCUACUUCCUUGAGCUCUGCCCAUCGGCUACUUUUGGAAUCUUACUUUGUC
Molecule: long non-coding RNA, 2831 nt
Filed under: Salmo salar (Atlantic salmon)
Lineage: Eukaryota; Metazoa; Chordata; Actinopteri; Salmoniformes; Salmonidae
Description: lncRNA (ENSSSAG00000085510.1)
Source: RNAcentral